Molecule: transfer RNA, 68 nt
Filed under: Lepidosiren paradoxa (South American lungfish)
Lineage: Eukaryota; Metazoa; Chordata; Ceratodontiformes; Lepidosirenidae
Description: tRNA-Asp
Source: RNAcentral
AAGAUAUUAGUAAAAUUAUUACAUUGCCUUGUCAAGACAAAAUUGUAGGGUAAUUCCUUCAUAUCUUU